GGGGAUGUCGCUUAGUGGUAGAGCACUUGUCUAGCAUGUAAUUCUCUAUUUUGAAAAAAAAUCAUCCCCA
Molecule: transfer RNA, 70 nt
Filed under: Heterocephalus glaber (naked mole-rat)
Lineage: Eukaryota; Metazoa; Chordata; Mammalia; Rodentia; Bathyergidae
Rfam family: tRNA
About the family: Transfer RNA (tRNA) molecules are approximately 80 nucleotides in length. Their secondary structure includes four short double-helical elements and three loops (D, anti-codon, and T loops). Further hydrogen bonds mediate the characteristic L-shaped molecular structure. tRNAs have two regions of fundamental functional importance: the anti-codon, which is responsible for specific mRNA codon recognition, and the 3' end, to which the tRNAs corresponding amino acid is attached (by aminoacyl-tRNA synthetases). tRNAs cope with the degeneracy of the genetic code in two manners: having more than one tRNA (with a specific anti-codon) for a particular amino acid; and 'wobble' base-pairing, i.e. permitting non-standard base-pairing at the 3rd anti-codon position.
Source: Rfam by way of RNAcentral